GUAGGGUGCGAGCGUUAAUCGGAAUUACUGGGCGUAAAGCGUGCGCAGGCGGUUAUGUAAGACAGAUGUGAAAUCCCCGGGCUCAACCUGGGAACUGCAUUUGUGACUGCAUGGCUAGAGUACGGUAGAGGGGGAUGGAAUUCCGCGUGUAGCAGUGAAAUGCGUAGAUAUGCGGAGGAACGCCGAUGGCGAAGGCAAUCCCCUGGACCUGUACUGACGCUCAUGCACGAAAGCGUGGGGAGCAAACAGGAUUAGAUACCCUGGUAGUCCCACGCCCCUAAACGAUGUCAACUGGUUGUUGGGAAUUAGUUUUUCUCAGUAACGAAGCUAACGCGUGAAGUUGACCGCCUGGGAGUACGGCCGCAAGGUUG
This 371-nucleotide ribosomal RNA is filed under the name uncultured organism. Its description in RNAcentral is "partial 16S ribosomal RNA". It matches the Rfam family "Bacterial small subunit ribosomal RNA", at positions 527 to 896 of the family's 1533-position model. The record is from RNAcentral.